AAUGGUUAAUUUUGGUGCAUACCUGUAGUCCCAGGGACUUGGGAGGCUGACUUGAGUCCAUGAGUUCUGGGCUAUACUGCACUCUGCCAAUUGGGCAUCCACACUGAGUUUGACAUCAAUAUGGUGACCUUCCAGGAGCAAGGGACAACCAGCGGCCUAAGGAGGGGUGAACAGCUCAGGUCAGAAACUGAACAGGUCAAAACUCCUGUGCUGAUCAGUAGAGGUAUCACACCUGUAAAUAAACAGUCACUGUACUCCAGCCUGGACAACAUAGCAAGAUCCCGU
This is an unclassified non-coding RNA of Pongo abelii (Sumatran orangutan), 285 nucleotides long. It matches the Rfam family "Metazoan signal recognition particle RNA". Rfam says of the family: The signal recognition particle (SRP) is a universally conserved ribonucleoprotein. It is involved in the co-translational targeting of proteins to membranes. NCBI's taxonomy places the organism in Eukaryota, Metazoa, Chordata, Mammalia, Primates, Hominidae. The record is from Ensembl.